GAAUAGGGGAGCCGUAGGGAAACCGAGUCUUAAUAGGGCGUCUAGUUGCAGGGUAUAGACCCGAAACCGAGUGAUCUAUCCAUGAGCAGGUUGAAAGUGACGUAACAGUUACCGGAGGACCGAACCCACUGUCGUUGAAAAGCCAGGGGAUGACUUGUGGAUAGGGGUGAAAGGCUAAUCAAACUCGGUGAUAGCUGGUUCUCCCCGAAAGCUAUUUAGGUAGCGCCUCGGACGAACACCAUUGGGGGUAGAGCACUGUUUCGGCUAGGGGGUCAUCCCGACUUACCAAACCGAUGCAAACUCCGAAUACCGAUGAGUGAUAUCCGGGAGACAGACGGCGGGUGCUAACGUCCGUCGUCAAGAGGGAAACAACCCAGACCGCCAGCUAAGGCCCCAAAUUCCUAGUUAAGUGGGAAACGAUGUGGGAAGGCACAGACAGCUAGGAGGUUGGCUUAGAAGCAGCCAUCCUUUAAAGAAAGCGUAAUAGCUCACUAGUCGAGUCGGCCUGCGCGGAAGAUGUAACGGGGCUCAAACUAGGAGCCGAAGCUGCGGAUUUAAUUGUUUCAAUUAAGUGGUAGGGGAGCAUUGUGUA
Molecule: ribosomal RNA, 592 nt
Filed under: Salmonella enterica subsp. enterica serovar Enteritidis
Lineage: Bacteria; Pseudomonadati; Pseudomonadota; Gammaproteobacteria; Enterobacterales; Enterobacteriaceae
Description: partial 23S ribosomal RNA
Rfam family: Bacterial large subunit ribosomal RNA
Source: RNAcentral